This 475-nucleotide ribosomal RNA is filed under the name uncultured organism. Its description in RNAcentral is "partial 16S ribosomal RNA". It matches the Rfam family "Bacterial small subunit ribosomal RNA", at positions 332 to 798 of the family's 1533-position model. The record is from RNAcentral.
UACACUCCUACGGGAGGCAGCAGUGGGGAAUUUUGGACAAUGGGCGAAAGCCUGAUCCAGCAAUGCCGCGUGAGUGAAGAAGGCCUUCGGGUUGUAAAGCUCUUUUGUCAGGGAAGAAACGGUGAAAGCUAAUAUCUUUUGCUAAUGACGGUACCUGAAGAAUAAGCACCGGCUAACUACGUGCCAGCAGCCGCGGUAAUACGUAGGGUGCAAGCGUUAAUCGGAAUUACUGGGCGUAAAGCGUGCGCAGGCGGUUUUGUAAGUCUGAUGUGAAAUCCCCGGGCUCAACCUGGGAAUUGCAUUGGAGACUGCAAGGCUAGAAUCUGGCAGAGGGGGGUAGAAUUCCACGUGUAGCAGUGAAAUGCGUAGAUAUGUGGAGGAACACCGAUGGCGAAGGCAGCCCCCUGGGUCAAGAUUGACGCUCAUGCACGAAAGCGUGGGGAGCAAACAGGAUUAGAUACCCCGGUAGUCCCAU